RNAcentral lists this ribosomal RNA (232 nucleotides) under Cladosporium delicatulum. RNAcentral's name for it is "partial 28S ribosomal RNA". It matches the Rfam family "Eukaryotic large subunit ribosomal RNA", at positions 1 to 228 of the family's 3401-position model. Lineage: Eukaryota; Fungi; Ascomycota; Dothideomycetes; Cladosporiales; Cladosporiaceae. RNAcentral also lists the same sequence under 1 other name. The record is from RNAcentral.
GUUGACCUCGGAUCAGGUAGGGAUACCCGCUGAACUUAAGCAUAUCAAUAAGCGGAGGAAAAGAAACCAACAGGGAUUGCUCUAGUAACGGCGAGUGAAGCAGCAAUAGCUCAAAUUUGAAAUCUGGCGUCUUCGACGUCCGAGUUGUAAUUUGUAGAGGAUGCUUCUGAGUAACCACCGACCUAAGUUCCUUGGAACAGGACGUCAUAGAGGGUGAGAAUCCCGUAUGCGG